This 253-nucleotide ribosomal RNA is filed under the name uncultured bacterium. Its description in RNAcentral is "partial 16S ribosomal RNA". It matches the Rfam family "Bacterial small subunit ribosomal RNA", at positions 524 to 776 of the family's 1533-position model. The record is from RNAcentral.
UACAGAGGUCUCAAGCGUUGUUCGGAUUCAUUGGGCGUAAAGGGUGCGUAGGCGGCGCGGUAAGUCGGGUGUGAAAUCUUGGAGCUUAACUCCGAAACUGCAUUCGAUACUGCCGUGCUUGAGGACUGGAGAGGAGACUGGAAUUUACGGUGUAGCGGUGAAAUGCGUAGAUAUCGUCAAGAACACCGAUAGCGAAGGCAGCUUACUAGACUGUAACUGACGCUGAUGCACGAAAGUGUGGGGAUCAAACAGG